RNAcentral lists this ribosomal RNA (424 nucleotides) under Verrucomicrobiota bacterium. Its description in RNAcentral is "Verrucomicrobia bacterium partial 16S ribosomal RNA". It matches the Rfam family "Bacterial small subunit ribosomal RNA", at positions 355 to 776 of the family's 1533-position model. The record is from RNAcentral. Lineage: Bacteria; Pseudomonadati; Verrucomicrobiota.
UGAGGAAUAUUGGUCAAUGGACGCAAGUCUGAACCAGCCAAGUAGCGUGCAGGAUGACGGCCCUAUGGGUUGUAAACUGCUUUCAUAUGGGAAUAAAGUGAGGGACGUGUCCCUUAUUGCAUGUACCAUACGAAUAAGGACCGGCUAAUUCCGUGCCAGCAGCCGCGGUAAUACGGAAGGUCCAGGCGUUAUCCGGAUUUAUUGGGUUUAAAGGGAGCGUAGGCUGUUUGUUAAGCGUGUUGUGAAAUGUAAGAGCUCAACUUUUAGAUUGCAGCGCGAACUGGCAGACUUGAGUGCGCACAACGUAGGCGGAAUUCAUGGUGUAGAGAUGAAAUGCUUAGAUAUAAUGACGAACUCCGAUUGCGAAGGCAGCUUACGGGAGCGCAACUGACGCUAAAGCUCGAAGGUGCGGGUAUCGAACAGG